ACCGGGCGACUUGAGUGCAGAAGAGGACAGUGGAACUCCAUGUGUAGCGGUGGAAUGCGUAGAUAUAUGGAAGAACACCAGUGGCGAAGGCGGCUGUCUGGUCUGCAACUGACGCUGAGGCUCGAAAGCAUGGGUAGCGAACAGGAUUAGAUACCCUGGUAGUCCAUGCCGUAAACGAUGAGUGCUAGGUGUUGGAGGGUUUCCGCCCUUCAGUGCCGGAGCUNACGCAUUAAGCACUCCGCCUGGGGAGUACGACCGCAAGGUUGAAACUCAAAGGAAUUGACGGGGGCCCGCACAAGCGGUGGAGCAUGUGGUUUAAUUCGAAGCUACGCGAAGAACCUUACCAGGUCUUGACAUCUUGCGCUAACCUUACAGAUAAGGCGUUCCCUUCGGGGACGCAAUGACAGGUGGUGCAUGGUCGUCGUCAGCUCGUGUCGUGA
RNAcentral lists this ribosomal RNA (440 nucleotides) under Limosilactobacillus reuteri. Its description in RNAcentral is "bacterial SSU rRNA". It matches the Rfam family "Bacterial small subunit ribosomal RNA", at positions 632 to 1070 of the family's 1533-position model. The record is from RNAcentral. Lineage: Bacteria; Bacillati; Bacillota; Bacilli; Lactobacillales; Lactobacillaceae.